This 483-nucleotide ribosomal RNA is filed under the name uncultured bacterium. RNAcentral describes it as "partial 16S ribosomal RNA". It matches the Rfam family "Bacterial small subunit ribosomal RNA", at positions 28 to 507 of the family's 1533-position model. The record is from RNAcentral.
GAUGAACGCUGGCGGCGUGCCUAACACAUGCCAGUCGAACGAAGCUUGACGGAUGAUUUCUUCGGAAUGAAACCAGAUAUGACUUAGUGGCGGACGGGUGAGUAACACGUGAGCAACCUGCCUUUCAGAGGGGGAUAACGGCUGGAAACGGUCGCUAAUACCGCAUGAUGUGUUCGGAUGGCAUCAUCUGAACAUCAAAGAUUUAUCGCUGAAAGAUGGGCUCGCGUCUGAUUAGAUAGUUGGUGGGGUAACGGCCUACCAAGUCUACGAUCAGUAGCCGGACUGAGAGGUUGAACGGCCACAUUGGGACUGAGAUACGGCCCAGACUCCUACGGGAGGCAGCAGUGGGGAAUAUUGCACAAUGGGGGAAACCCUGAUGCAGCAACGCCGCGUGAAGGAUGACGGUUUUCGGAUUGUAAACUUCUUUUCUUAGUGACGAAGACAGUGACGGUAGCUAAGGAAUAAGCAUCGGCUAACUACGUG